Long non-coding RNA from Acyrthosiphon pisum (pea aphid), 163 nucleotides. RefSeq lists it as uncharacterized. The transcript has 2 exons. The record is from RefSeq and is a predicted model, not a curated record. NCBI's taxonomy places the organism in Eukaryota, Metazoa, Arthropoda, Insecta, Hemiptera, Aphididae.
GAUAUUUAACAUUGAAUCGACAAUCAAUAGUUUCCUAUGACGUAGACAAAACAACUAACAUAGAAUUUGAAGAAUGGUUUAAUAGAAAAUAUAAUAAAGGAUGAUUAUUUGAUGAUGUGAAAGAGCAUGAUAUGCCAUAACAUGAUAUUACACUUCUGGAAAA